This 305-nucleotide ribosomal RNA is filed under the name uncultured bacterium. RNAcentral describes it as "partial 16S ribosomal RNA". It matches the Rfam family "Bacterial small subunit ribosomal RNA", at positions 506 to 807 of the family's 1533-position model. The record is from RNAcentral.
ACAGCAGUAGCCGCGGGAAUACGUAGGUGGCAAGCGUUAAUCGGAAUAACUGGGCGUAAAGGGCACGCAGGCGGUGACUUAAGUGAGGUGUGAAAGCCCCGGGCUUAACCUGGGAAUUGCAUUUCAUACUGGGUCGCUAGAGUACUUUAGGGAGGGGUAGAAUUCCACGUGUAGCGGUGAAAUGCGUAGAGAUGUGGAGGAAUACCGAAGGCGAAGGCAGCCCCUUGGGAAUGUACUGACGCUCAUGUGCGAAAGCGUGGGGAGCAAACAGGAUUAGAUACCCCUGUAGUCCCUGUCUCUUAUAC